RNAcentral lists this long non-coding RNA (430 nucleotides) under Cyclopterus lumpus (lumpfish). RNAcentral describes it as "lncRNA (ENSCLMG00005021355.1)". Lineage: Eukaryota; Metazoa; Chordata; Actinopteri; Perciformes; Cyclopteridae. The record is from RNAcentral.
GUCAUGGCCGCCGUCGCUGUGGAUCUAUAGAGAGGAGAGAAGGAAGGCAAAUGUUUCUACUGUGUGCUUUUUGUGCCGUAGCCUCCUUUUCCACAAUGCCGGACGUUGACGGGGACGCCACCUGAACUUCCAUCGAGUUCAUAGCACAGAGGCCACGCUGCAAGCUCCCCUUCUUCAGAACCCGACAUGCAUUAAUGUCUGCGUUUGUCCUAAAGGAGUACAGGCCUAGAGGGCAUGAAAACAUGAUGACCCUGAUCACCAAUGGCCCUCUAUCUCUUUGGAACAGGGACUAUCAAGCCCCACUGGAUAUGUGAACUUUAGUACAUGCCUACUUAGUGUUGUUUUUCUGCUCUAUAGCAAUGUUAAAUGUAUUUAAUGUCAAUUGGAACCUAUUUAUUGUAUUAAUGACACUUGUUUACUUCUCUUUCAG